This 259-nucleotide unclassified non-coding RNA is filed under the name Hevea brasiliensis (rubber tree). The record is from RNAcentral. Lineage: Eukaryota; Viridiplantae; Streptophyta; Magnoliopsida; Malpighiales; Euphorbiaceae.
AUAUAAGUGAUUAGAUUGUAAUAUUCACUUGGCUAGUCAUUUUGAUAUAUAAAAUAAUCUAAUAACUUAUAUAAACCUAAAUUAAAGUGUAAUUUAUCUAAUACUCUCUUAAAUUUAAUAUAGUAUCAGAGUCUCAACUGUGUUGUGGACAUCUGUAAGGCUGUAUAAUUGGAUCCAUAUUAGGGGGAGUGUUAGGAUUAUAAAUCCCAUAUCGGAAAAGUAUAGACAUAAAAACUUAAAUAUAAAUGGUUAGAUUGUA